GGCGUCGAAGUAAUGCAGCGAACAGAUUAAAGGUGUCAAUUGGGCAGAAUUUGUUCGUCCGUCCGUCCUUUUUUUCUGAUGAAGAUGAGGCCGAAACCAAACGCAAAUAUUUGGCAAAAGAGUUCGUGUUUGCGCUGGGAAUUGACCCAGGCAUAAGAUUCUUUAUUGCGGCAGUCCGUUGCGAUCUUACCACCGGCGAGAUUUCUUGGAUGUUUGCAGUCGGCGCCAUACUUGACCAAACAUAAAAGUAUUUUUUGAAUAAAUACCAUUCAAAAAAGCCAAUAAUGUCAAAAUGGCAUCAGAUUACCGUGAUAUGGAUAUGAUUUCUUCAAUGCAUCAUAUGACGGUUAUGAAAAACACCCUAGUGUAUUCUCGACCGCAAUUAGGAUAAGUCCAAAUAGAUUUAAGUAAAGAAAAUGUCAAUAAAGAAAGAAAAACACAUAA
Molecule: long non-coding RNA, 444 nt
Organism: Sitodiplosis mosellana (orange wheat blossom midge)
Lineage: Eukaryota; Metazoa; Arthropoda; Insecta; Diptera; Cecidomyiidae
Exons: 2
Source: RefSeq, a predicted model, not a curated record